This 1359-nucleotide ribosomal RNA is filed under the name uncultured bacterium. RNAcentral's name for it is "bacterial SSU rRNA". It matches the Rfam family "Bacterial small subunit ribosomal RNA", at positions 28 to 1381 of the family's 1533-position model. The record is from RNAcentral.
GAUGAACGCUAGCUACAGGCUUAACACAUGCAAGUCGAGGGGCAGCAUUUUAGUUUGCUUGCAAACUAAAGAUGGCGACCGGCGCACGGGUGAGUAACACGUAUCCAACCUGCCGAUAACUCGGGGAUAGCCUUUCGAAAGAAAGAUUAAUAUCCGAUGGUAUAUUAAAACCGCAUGGUUUUACUAUUAAAGAAUUUCGGUUAUCGAUGGGGAUGCGUUCCAUUAGUUUGUUGGCGGGGUAACGGCCCACCAAGACUACGAUGGAUAGGGGUUCUGAGGGGAAGGUCCCCCACAUUGGAACUGAGACACGGUCCAAACUCCUACGGGAGGCAGCAGUGAGGAAUAUUGGUCAAUGGACGAGAGUCUGAACCAGCCAAGUAGCGUGAAGGAUGACUGCCCUAUGGGUUGUAAACUUCUUUUAUAUGGGAAUAAAGUAUUCCACGUGUGGGAUUUUGUAUGUACCAUAUGAAUAAGGAUCGGCUAACUCCGUGCCAGCAGCCGCGGUAAUACGGAGGAUCCGAGCGUUAUCCGGAUUUAUUGGGUUUAAAGGGAGCGUAGGUGGAUUGUUAAGUCAGUUGUGAAAGUUUGCGGCUCAACCGUAAAAUUGCAGUUGAAACUGGCAGUCUUGAGUACAGUAGAGGUGGGCGGAAUUCGUGGUGUAGCGGUGAAAUGCUUAGAUAUCACGAAGAACUCCGAUUGCGAAGGCAGCUCACUAGACUGCAACUGACACUGAUGCUCGAAAGUGUGGGUAUCAAACAGGAUUAGAUACCCUGGUAGUCCACGCAGUAAACGAUGAAUACUCGCUGUUUGCGAUAUACAGUAAGCGGCCAAGCGAAAGCAUUAAGUAUUCCACCUGGGGAGUACGCCGGCAACGGUGAAACUCAAAGGAAUUGACGGGGGCCCGCACAAGCGGAGGAACAUGUGGUUUAAUUCGAUGAUACGCGAGGAACCUUACCCGGGCUUAAAUUGCAUUUGAAUAAUCUGGAAACAGGUUAGCCGCAAGGCAAAUGUGAAGGUGCUGCAUGGUUGUCGUCAGCUCGUGCCGUGAGGUGUCGGCUUAAGUGCCAUAACGAGCGCAACCCUUAUCUUUGGUUACUAACAGGUCAUGCUGAGGACUCUAGAGAGACUGCCGUCGUAAGAUGUGAGGAAGGUGGGGAUGACGUCAAAUCAGCACGGCCCUUACGUCCGGGGCUACACACGUGUUACAAUGGGGGGUACAGAAGGCAGCUACCUGGCGACAGGAUGCUAAUCCCAAAAACCUCUCUCAGUUCGGAUCGAAGUCUGCAACCCGACUUCGUGAAGCUGGAUUCGCUAGUAAUCGCGCAUCAGCCACGGCGCGGUGAAUACGUUCCCGGGCCU